Molecule: long non-coding RNA, 294 nt
Organism: Oreochromis niloticus (Nile tilapia)
Lineage: Eukaryota; Metazoa; Chordata; Actinopteri; Cichliformes; Cichlidae
Exons: 3
Source: RefSeq, a predicted model, not a curated record
AGAGCCUCAGUGUCUGAAUGGUUCCAGUUCAGCUCCAUAACAGCAGCGUCCCUGGUUUGAUUCCUGUGUUUCAGCUCAUAUCUGCCUCUCUCACUGAGGGGGACGUCCACUACAUGGACAUAGAGCAGUUCUGUCCUCUGCCGUUGUACUGAUGAAGGAAACAUCUGUGCUGUGUCUGCUCUAGGAGGAUUCAGCUGCAGUCAACUCAACAGUGAGAACUGAAGACUUCAGUUAUGGACAAACAGCCAUCAGAACAAGGAGGCCCAGACUUUAAACCAGAGCCAGACGUCGUCU